RNAcentral lists this ribosomal RNA (468 nucleotides) under uncultured bacterium. RNAcentral describes it as "partial 16S ribosomal RNA". It matches the Rfam family "Bacterial small subunit ribosomal RNA", at positions 28 to 507 of the family's 1533-position model. The record is from RNAcentral.
GACGAACGCUGGCGGCGGGCUUAACACAUGCAAGUCGAACGGAAAGGCCCUGCAUUUGUGGAGUGCUCGAGUGGCGAACGAGUGAGUCACACGUGUGUAACCUGCCCUUGACUAUCGGAGAACUACAGGGAACUGGGGCUAAUACCGGAUAGUAGCUCCUGCUGCAUGGUGUGGGUUUAAGAGUUGCGGCGGGUGGGGAUGGUCUCGCGGCAUGUCCGCUUUUUGGUGGGGUAGUGGCUUACCAAGGCUUUGCCCGGUAGCCGGCCUGAGCGGGUGACCGGACACAUUGGGACUGAGAUGCGGCCCAGACUCCUACGGGAGGCAGCAGUGGAGAAUAUUGCACAAUGGGAGGAAGCCUGAUGCAGCACCGCCGCGUGCGGGAUGACGGCAAUCGGGUUGUAAACCGAUUUCGCCUGUGCCGAAGCGUGAGUGACGGUACUGGGUAAAGAAGCACCGGCUAACUACGUG